Cylas formicarius (sweet potato weevil) is the source of this 5249-nucleotide long non-coding RNA. RefSeq lists it as uncharacterized. The transcript is spliced from 3 exons. The record is from RefSeq and is a predicted model, not a curated record. NCBI's taxonomy places the organism in Eukaryota, Metazoa, Arthropoda, Insecta, Coleoptera, Brentidae.
CAGCAUACAAAUUACAAUCCAUUAAAGAGAACUGUCCAAAUGGACGUCUUUGGGGAAAUAUCACCCCCCAACAAAUUAAAAGAAUUAUAGGAGAUGGCUCUCAAAUUAAUGAACUAGUUGAAAAGGAAAUUAUUCUGUAUGAAAACGAAGAUGUUGGCCCUUUCAUAGUCUAUAUUGAAUCCGCGGAGAAAUCUGAUCGUAAUAUAGGUAGAUUUAACAAUCUUAAAAUAGCAAGAGAAAUUUUUAACCUUCAUCUCAAGGACGUUAAAAAAAUUCACAACAAAGGUACAAACCGUAUAGCGAUAGAGUUUUUUAGAUAUGAAGCAGCCAACAAUCUCCUAAAAAACCAAUAUAUUUUAGACAAAGGUUUUAAGGUCUUCAUUCCAUUUAAUUUUGUCACAAGUAAAGGUAUUGUAAGGGACGUAGAUAUAGAUGAAGAUAUCGAAAAUAAUUUUGAAAAUAUAUGCAAAUCUUCAGCAAAGAUAAUUCAAGCCAAAAGACUUAAUCGUAAAAUAAUUGUAGAUAACAAGACUCAGUAUAAACCAACCGGUACUCUCUUAUUCACAUUUCGAGGGGUUCUUCUACCAAAGCACAUUUACUUUUAUGACCUUCCCCUUCCGGUAAACGUUUAUAUCCACCCUGUCACUCAAUGCUAUAAAUGCCUACUCUACGGACAUACCAGGAAAAAUUGCAAAGGCAGGGAAAAAUGUUUUAAUUGCGCAGACAAUGAAGAAACCGACGAUAGCUCAGACUUCCCCACUCAAUACUCGUGUACCCAGAAAUGUCAUUUCUGCAGAAAUGAACACACUACUUCGAAAAGCUGCCCCGAAUUCAAACGACAGCAAAACAUUAAACGGAUUAUGACGUACGAAAACUUAACCGUCUAUGAUGCCAACAAACUAUGCGCUAAAACCUACAAUAAUAAUGAAGUAUUUUCAUACCAACCAAACGAAUUCCCUUCUUUAAGAAAUAAUACGGUUAACAAGAAUGAUAAUUACACAUACACUAUAUCCCCUUCCCAAAGACGGCUAGCAGACUUCACCAACAAACGGUCUCAGGGGAACCCAACAAAAAAAGACUGAUCCACAAAAUCUAUGACAGACAGUCCCAUGACGACAAUAUUUACUUUCCUAAUUCUAGACCGGAAAGAAGACACGCUACAAAUUCCCCUAUAUUUGACGACCCAAUCUACAAUCAACAUUCCAGAACUACCAAAGAAAUAAAUGCCUCAAGUAAAAGUGCCCCUCAAGACAUCCCUCUGAACUUACCCUCGACCAGUACAUCUAAUUUAAAACGAUAUGAUGAUAACCCUACUUAUAUAUCCAUUAAGGAGCUAGUCUUAAAUUUACCAGAAGAAAAACAACAUGAAAUUAAAAACUUUAUCCUUAACUAUAUGAACCUAAGUAAUUAUACGGAUCUUGACGACCCUUGUUUUAAUUAAAUUUUAAUAUAACCAAAUAAAGUUCAAUUCAAAAUUAAAAAUACUUCAGUGGAACCUAAGAAGUAUCAAUUCAAACAGAUCGGAACUAAUCUCAUCAAUCAGGGAACAGGAUCCCGAUAUUAUUUUUUUAAAUGAAACCUGCUAAAUAAAGAAAAAAAAUUUUCAGUUAAAUCGUGUAAUAUUAUUAGACAAGACAGGGAUGAUGGAUAUGGGGGAAUAGCAACUUGCAUAAAAAACAUUUUUUUAUACAGAGAAAUAAAAAAAUUUAACGAUAACCAAGUUCAAUAUAUUAUAGUUAAAAUUGAUGAACUUAAUCUUAUCAACAUUUAUUCUAACUCUAAUAAUAAUAUCAACUCCCAAUUUUUAGAGGAGCUUUAUUCUAAUGUUCAGGGUCCCUCUAUAUUGAUGGGAGACUUAAAUUCACAUUAUCCCCUUUGGGAUUAUUGUACUCCAAACAAUGGAGGCAAACAUAUUAAUGAUUUCCUAUUUGACAAAGAGCUUGUAAUUCUAAAUGAUGGCUCUUCAACCCUACUUCAACCUCCCAAUCAGAAAAUGAGUGCGAUAGUCGAUUGUCAGUAGUGACAUAGCUUAUUCAUCAAACUGGAGAGUCUUGCCGGACUGUGGCAACAGUAACCACUUUCCCACUAUGACAGUAAUUAAAGAUAGAGAAUCCUACUCAAAAAAUUCUUUUGUACAUAAUUUUUCAUCGGUCAGAAAUUAUAGAAAAGCAGAUUGGGGACUAUAUAGAGACAAACCUAUAUUAGACUCUUUACAAUACAAAACUGAUAUGACUUUCGAAGAGAUAGAGACCCUUAUUAAUUCGGCGGCAGACAUCGCUAUCCCUUUGAAAACAAACAAAAAAGGUAAAACGGGGAAUGUUUGGUGGGACGAGGAAUGUAUUCUUAUAGUCAAACAACGUAAAGAAAAGCUAAAACAAUUUGAAAUUGCUCCUACACUUGAAAACUAUAUACAAGCAAAAAAAUAUAUUGCAAUUGCCAGAAGAAAACGCAAUAAAUUCAUAAAAUUCUGUUCGUCAUUAAAUAGAGAUUUUGGAAAAAAAUAAAAAAAUUUUCGAGCAUAAAUCAACACUCCAAUAGACCUAUCCUCGAUGACGACCUUCGUAAUGAAAUCUUAAAAAAAAUGGUAAUUUAUAAUGUGAUUCCAGGCUUUACUCUAAGUCCUAUAGAGGACCUAAACCCGUUUAUAUUACAAGAAUUAGAAAAUGUCCUAUUUAAGAAAAAUAUAUCUGCUCCUGGGUUAGACAAGGAACUUAUAAAAUGAUUCUUAAUCUGCCCUUAAAUAUAAAAUUAGGGCUGCUUAAAAUCAAUAAGCAAUGCCUAGAAGGACAAUCUCUCCCGAAAUCUUGGAAAAAAUAUAACUUUUUAAAUAUUCUAAAACCCAAUAAAGACCCAUACAUGGCGAAUAGUUAUAGACCGAUUGUUCUGUCCUCAUGCUAUAUCAAGCUCUUGGAAAUUAUGAUUAAGAAUAGAUUAGAGUGGUUAUUAGAAAAAAAAAUCAUUUAACUGGUCCCAGACAGGCUUCAGAUGGGAAUGGGAAUUAGUAUCAACACAUUGCAUUUAUAUCAUCUUUCAUCGAUCUAGCUUUCAAGCAAAAAGAAACAGUAUUAGCAGUAUUCUUAGAUAUAAAAUCGGCCUAUGACUCUGUUAAUAUAUAAAAGCUAUAUAACAAAUUAAACUCAUUACACAUUCCACAAGAGCUUAGCAAUUUAAUCUUUAGAAUCCUGGAAAACAGACUCCUUUAUACAAAAAGAAAUGAUGGUUCUUACAUUGGUCCAGGCCUUUCCACAUCAGGAUUACCACAAGGAUCACCUUUAAGUACAAUUUUAUUCAAUAUAUACACUAUAGAUCUUUUUAAUAUGUUAGAUGAAAGUUUCAUAUUACUAGGUUAUGCGGAUGACAUGGCUUUACUUUUAAAAGGGAACAAUAUCAUAUCUAUGGCUUCUAAAAUUAAUCAGGCUCUUAACACAAUCAACAUAUGGUUACUUAAUAACGACCUUCAACUCUCCCCUCAGAAAUGCGAAUGCGUUUGGUUCACAAAGGGUACUCGUAAAAUUCCUCCUCCCCCUGUAAAAAUCGAAAAUCACCCCCGUAUCAGAAUAAAAUCUAUAAAAAAGUCAUUCCGCCUUGUUUUGAGUUUGAUUAUUUUAACCAAAUAACCCCUAUAAAAACAUUAAACUUAAAUAUAAAAAAAUCUGACCCUGACAUAAAAGAAAAAUUCAAUCUUGCCACAGAAAAAUUUAAAAACACUUUUCACUUCGUAUAUACAGAUGCAUCUAAAAUUAGUAAUAGUAAUGGUCUUGGGGUUUACAUUCCUGAUAUAGAUUACAAAUUCUCUUCAAAACUACAAAACGAAAUAAGUAUAACUUCAGCAGAAAUAAUAGCAAUAUAUGAAGGGGUUACGGUUAUUUUGAAAAAAAAUCUUAAAAAUGGAAUAAUAUUUUCUGACUCUCUCAGUGCAAUCACAAAAUUAAAUACCAACAAUAUUAAAUACGCUUCAGAAUUUCUAACUCUUACGACCAAACAACUCAUAGUUAAUAGUUAGUUAAUAAUAAUGAUAAUAACAUUAUUUUAGCUUGGAUCCCAGGACACUCAGACAUAGUAGGUAACUCAGUUGUUGACUCUUUAGCAAAAAUAGGUACAAGCCUAAAUAUUCCAAAAACCAUUGACUUAGAUAAAAAUGAAAUUCUUAAUAUCAUAAAACAAAAAAUACUAGAUCAACACAACAGACAUUGGAAAAAUAUAUUAAAAUUUAAGGACAAGACUUAUGCUAAUAUUCAAAAUGAAUUUCCAAAAAAAAAUGGUUUGACGGACAAGAAUAUAUAGACAGAACACAUGUCACCAUUAUUACAAGGAUGAGAACAGGACACUGCCUUACUAAACAGCACCUUUAUAAAAUAGGUAUAAACGAUAGCCCAUUUUGCGAAUGUGGAAAGAUUGAGGACCUGAACCACAUGUUCUUUGAAUGCCCUAUAAAUGAGAUACCCGAUCUUGAUAUCUACAAUUCUUUUAUAAAACUGGGCAUCAAAGCCCCUCUUAACAUCUCUGCUGUUCUAAUUAAACCCAAUAAAAAGAUUACAGAUAUCAUAAUUUCCUUUUUAAACUUUAAUAAAAUUAAACUGUAACGUAAUAUAUAUCAGUAAUAUUUUCAGAAUCCAUUAUCUCCAACAAAUCCAUCCUCUAUGCCCUCUUCCCCGCAUAUGUUUGUAUUACUAACAGAUACCUCCAUUACCGAAUAAUUUAUUCUUUAUUGAGCAAAGUAAAUAAAAUAAAACAUCUAAGGGUAAAAGUAGAUAGGAGUUCCCAGGAGCUCUGCUCGUCAAGCUGACUCCCCUAAUGAGCUGGCAGACUGCCUAGUUGCAAAGCCAAAAUAUUGACAAGAAGAAGAAGAAGAAGAUACGUAGCAGUAGCGACUGGAAACAUUCUUUGUGUGCAGUGCUGCUGAUGUAACAUGUGUUAAUAAAGUGGAAACGUCUUUGUACUGUAGUACCUACAUCAGAAAUUACUGGAAAGAACCUUAUGGACAUUUUAAUUGAAAACGAAAUGAGGGAGGAUAAUUUAGUCAAAUGGGUUUGGAAUUAGCAGGAAAUCAAGAAUUUAUCACAUUCAGCAUGUUUCGGAGCAGCGAGACAUUUGAUAUGUUUAGAAGAGCAGCUACCACACCUGGAAGUAGAUAUUGCAGAUGAGGUUGGAAAUGAGGAAAGGAACCAAAUAGCAAAUAUGCUCUUAUAACAAAUAAAAAUAUGUUUUUGAAUUAUUGCUUUUUUUUGGAAUACACAUAAUAAGUGCAA